AAAAAAAUUUUCAAAAAAUUUCAAUUUUUCUUAGGCAGACUAUUUUAUUGCAAUUUCUUGCACAAAAUACACCUAAAAGUGUGGAAAAAAAUUGACAGCCCGAUAUGAGUAGAGGAAGAUCCUUAUUACCACCCUUAAGGCAAUCUCUAAAUGACUAUGGAGAAAUGCCUUGUACUUUAUUGUUAUUAAUUUUUUAAUAUUCUUAUUAAUUUUAUAUUGGCAAAUACAAUAAUUUUUUUUUAAUUUUCUAUUUAAAUUUUUGUGUGAAAUAGUUUUUUCCCAAUUUCUAGGUGUUCAUUUAUGCAGGAUGGGUGUUUGUUGCGGAGCUGCUCCUGGAGGAGAUCUGGCAUUGCUGAGUCGCAGUUCAAUACAGUCACUCCAGUAGCAGGGAGAUUUAGCAGUCAUCGUACCUUUAACACGUCGCGAAAAAUCCCAAAUUUCUAUUCCAGGGAAGAAACUUUCAUCUAUUGAAAGAGAUAGAGAGAGUAUGGUGUCAUCAUAUCUUUAAAACGACGAAAAAAAUUGGCAAUAGUGUUUUUCAGUCAAUGCCCAAUAAACAACUUGAAGGACAGGAAGGAUGUGGUAGAAGAAAAGUGGCCCCUGCAUACUUUUUUUUAAUAAAAUUUUUUGUUUUCUUUUUUAUUUUUUUUUUUUUAUAAGAUUUUUUUAACGCUCCCGGCCUCGCGCAGAAGUGCGCGCAAGAAAGAGGGAUCCUCGGGAGCAGGCCUGAAGUGUUCGAGAAGUGGCGAUAUAACUUUUGCCCCGACGUGGGAUUCGCCGAUCGGUGAGUCGUUUUUUAUUUAACCCCUUCCCUGUUUAAAACAGUUAUUUUUUAUUAUUUUAAUUAAAAUAGAUUUAUAAAUUGAAAAUUAAUUUUUUUAAAAAUAUUUUUAAUCAAUAAAUUUUUGAAUUUUUUUGACUUUUAAAAAAAGUUGUUAUGUUGAUUCAAAUAAUAUAUUAAAAUUAAAAAAAAACAGGGAAGGAAAAAAACAACAUAGUGACACCAUUGACAAAAUUAUUACUUUCUGGUAAUUUUUAGGGGUAAUCUAAAAAAGCAUAUGAUAUUUUUGGAAAUUUAGCCCCUCAAAAUUUCUAACACUCCUGACAUCCUAAAAUAUUACAUGUUUUGUGGAUUACUACCUUAAUACUACGUAAAUUAAUACUAUUGUCAAUGUUCCUUUUCAUUGUUUAUAUAAUAUGUAUGUUAUUUAUUGUGUGUUUGAUAUUUUUAAUGUUUUGUAAUUUUUCUUAACGAGUCAAAGUAAUUUUCUUUCUAUAAAAAAAAGUAAUUUAAACUAAAUUUAUAAAAUGUUAUUAACUUUAAAUAAUUUGAUUAAUUAAUUUUGUUCACAAUUUUUCAAUUUUGAAUAGUAAAUUUUAUUUUCAAAAGUUAAAUAUUAAUGCAUGUGGAAUUAAAAAUUAAAAGUUUUUGAUCAUUUUUUCAAUUAUGGACUAAUUAAAUGUUUUCUUUUCAGAAAAGAUCGCUCAGGUGACGGUAACGUCCCGGGACGUUAACCCUAGUGUAGGUCAUUUUGCACCUGGGCGGUAUUAGUUUCGUUUAGAAUAUAAAUGUAGGUAGAAAAUUCGGGAAAAAUAGGCAUUUAUGUUCGUUUUAAAUAUAGCAAUAGGUAGGGAAAUCGGGUGAAAAAUGUAAGUAAAAAACAAGUAACUGGAGUACCAGUGAAAAUUUACUUUAUCUUUUAUUUAUUUGGUCACUAUGUUGUAUAACAUUUUAAUAUUUUGUGAAUGUUUGUAAGUGUUUUGUGAUUGUUUUCUAAAUGUUUUGUGAUUGUUUUGUUUAAUUAAUAAUUAUUUUCAGUUGAAUCAUCGUGGUGAGAAAUAAUAUUUCUUUUUUAUAUUAAUAAUCAUUUAUUUUUUCAGGAAUAUGUAAUUUAGUAUAUUCUUAAUCUAGAAAUAUGUAUUUAUUAUACUCUAUUUAUCGUAUAUUGUUAAUUAUAGGAAUGUAUAAAAGCAUGAAAGAAAUAGAAUAACGAAUUUUAACAGUAUUUUUUCUUUGUUACAGAAAAGUCGCAUAUUUUUAAAACUGGUUAAAAAAUUCGAAAAAUAUUUUUAUAAAAACCUUUUUUUUGCAAUUAAUUUUAUCGGGAGUGUUCGUGGUCGUGUGUUUUUAAACCGUUCGAGUUCGAAAAAUAUUUUUAUAAAAAAUGUAUAAAUAUUUUUUUUUAUUUUUCAAAAUGUAGGAGGUAAAAAGUAAGAGUAAGAGUAAAAGUGGCCCUUAGCAUAUAGUAAUUCUUUGAUGCAGACGAGGAUGCAGAAAAAGGAGGGAUUUCUGAGGGUUGCGUUCCAAAAGAGGCAAUGCAACCAUCGUUUCGUCGAGGGAAUCCGCAAUCGGAUCCAUAGAAGCAGUCCUGGAAAAAAUGUUGGAAACAAAAAACCGGUUACAUCACGA
This is a long non-coding RNA of Leptopilina boulardi, 2410 nucleotides long. RefSeq lists it as uncharacterized. The transcript is spliced from 5 exons. NCBI's taxonomy places the organism in Eukaryota, Metazoa, Arthropoda, Insecta, Hymenoptera, Figitidae. The record is from RefSeq and is a predicted model, not a curated record.